UGAGCGGGGACUCGAUGGCUUUGUGUUGUAGAGAGGACCGGGGAGUCCUGUGGGGUACCAGUGUAUCGUCAUGGCGACCCGUCCAAUACUUUUCUUGCCAUAUUGUUUCCAUCGGUGAACCAGAUGUGAUCGCAAGCGGCGAGUUACAAAAAGUUAGAGAGCGGAGAGAGCUGCCGUAGACGGGCGGAACGCAGCAUGGCCGUGUCAGAUUCUCCCUCGCUGCCUGCCAUUCAAAUCUCUUGCUCAAUACGGUUACCGUGGCAACUGGCCACUUGUUGUGGCGAGCGGGCGACGAAAGGACACUAAGAAAGAGACCGAGGACGAACAACGAACACAACCCAAACCCCAGGUUAGACCGGCGACUCUACGAGGCUCUAUGAAAUGGAUGUCUGAGGAUUGAUCGUGACACAGCACUUAAUAAAAGUCACAUUUGACAGUUUUGAUUCUCUAAUCCAUUGAUUAGGUAUUUGAGAAGUAUGAAAAAGAUGUCAAGUGAAGUCAAAAUGCAGUUUGAAUGAAAGAACCCUCUAUUUAAACGCCGGGUUGGACUCGCCGGGCUGGUCUCCGUCCACACUUCACCGCUCCCACAGCAACAUCUGGAGGUCAUCGACCCGCUCAGCGGUCACGGGCAUGUUCUACUAGUAGUGAGCGAGGAGUCAGUGGCCGAAUAAAUGCAGGAGCUUUUGGUUCAAAGGACGUGCAUGGUGCUAAAUUGACGGCAAUGAUUUACACUUAUGUAAAGAAUACUUUAUUACAAAGAAAACAGUGGUAUGAAAAAAAGCACAUGAAGGGAUUGUAGAUGCUUCAGCAAAAAGAGAUGAAACUCAGCUCACUAAGAGGACGCC
Gasterosteus aculeatus aculeatus (three-spined stickleback) is the source of this 845-nucleotide long non-coding RNA. The record is from Ensembl. NCBI's taxonomy places the organism in Eukaryota, Metazoa, Chordata, Actinopteri, Perciformes, Gasterosteidae.